RNAcentral lists this long non-coding RNA (216 nucleotides) under Elaeis guineensis (African oil palm). Its description in RNAcentral is "long non-coding RNA (EGUI_LNC009399)". Lineage: Eukaryota; Viridiplantae; Streptophyta; Magnoliopsida; Arecales; Arecaceae. The record is from RNAcentral.
CUUUGGCCAAAGACUUUCUAAACUCAGUCUCGUAAAUCGCAUAGAACUUCUCCUUUUCUACCAAGGUCGAUAGAUUUUAUCUAAAUACAUCCUACUCCUAAUAGUGAAUCUAAACCUAUUGUAGCCAAUAUACACAGAAAGAAUUCGAAUGUCUAGAGACCAAAAAAUUAUGUAGUCAAACUCAGUGACCUCGUUGCGAAUAGCUGAUGACACCAU